This 624-nucleotide ribosomal RNA is filed under the name Pseudomonas sp. SOK73. Its description in RNAcentral is "bacterial SSU rRNA". It matches the Rfam family "Bacterial small subunit ribosomal RNA", at positions 55 to 675 of the family's 1533-position model. The record is from RNAcentral. Lineage: Bacteria; Pseudomonadati; Pseudomonadota; Gammaproteobacteria; Pseudomonadales; Pseudomonadaceae.
AUGCAGUCGAGCGGUAGAGAGAAGCUUGCUUCUCUUGAGAGCGGCGGACGGGUGAGUAAUGCCUAGGAAUCUGCCUGGUAGUGGGGGAUAACGUUCGGAAACGGACGCUAAUACCGCAUACGUCCUACGGGAGAAAGCAGGGGACCUUCGGGCCUUGCGCUAUCAGAUGAGCCUAGGUCGGAUUAGCUAGUUGGUGAGGUAAUGGCUCACCAAGGCGACGAUCCGUAACUGGUCUGAGAGGAUGAUCAGUCACACUGGAACUGAGACACGGUCCAGACUCCUACGGGAGGCAGCAGUGGGGAAUAUUGGACAAUGGGCGAAAGCCUGAUCCAGCCAUGCCGCGUGUGUGAAGAAGGUCUUCGGAUUGUAAAGCACUUUAAGUUGGGAGGAAGGGCAGUUACCUAAUACGUGAUUGUUUUGACGUUACCGACAGAAUAAGCACCGGCUAACUCUGUGCCAGCAGCCGCGGUAAUACAGAGGGUGCAAGCGUUAAUCGGAAUUACUGGGCGUAAAGCGCGCGUAGGUGGUUUGUUAAGUUGGAUGUGAAAUCCCCGGGCUCAACCUGGGAACUGCAUUCAAAACUGACUGACUAGAGUGUGGUAGAGGGUGGUGGAAUUUCCUGUG